AUAAGAUAGUAGUUAGAUCAGUUCAUUUCUUCCUGUCUUGUUCCUGGAAAGCUAACAUCACAAAUUACUUAUCUUGAGAAUUAUGGGUCAGUCAUAACAUCUUUGAAGAGGAAGAUCAAGAGCAAAAUGUAUGUUACUAAUUACCUGUGGGAAACCAUUAGAAACUGACAUCCCUUUGGGACCUUCUGUCUAUCUUGGGUCAUAAGGGAUCUGGAAUGAUCCUGACUGCCCAUUUGCCAUGAAAUGAAGAAACUAAAUUGUGACCACAUGCUUGACAUCAUCACAAAUAAACCAAUCCUUUCCAUUAAGGAAACUAAAGGAGAGUGAUAUUUUCCUUGGCCAUUGUAGUCCCAAACCAAGAUCAAUAGACCAACUUGUAGCCACAACACAUCACAGCCACAGAGGGGCCAGACACUUGGUAUGUGAACACACAGCUCAAAUACCACUCCCUCAGAUUCCAUUACAAAAAUAAUAAAAUUUGGGAGGAAGUGAGAUUGGGAAACUAAUGCACGUGGAAGACUCAAGACAUCCUCCUAUUUGUUUUUCUUUUGUUUCUAGGCCUCAAGCCAGGAAGGCCCUCUUCCCUAUGGUUGCCUGGUUACCAUGAGAGAACCUCGCCAUGGUAACAUCUGGAAUAAAGGUGGGAACCACAGAGAUAGAGGGAAUGGCACCUGAUGAAAUGGAGCAAGUGGAGGAGUUUCUGGACCAGCACUGAAUGCCUGCACCAAGCAGAAGAGGGCCUGGAGCUAAGCAGCAGCAAGGCAAAGAGCAAUAAAUUAGAGCAAGUGUCAAAGUUUUUCCCAUUGGCAGGCUGGUAUUUCACCAUCAACAUGUCCCAAAGUCACCAGAACUAUGUCUGGAGUUGUGCCUUCCCAGAAGAGCUC
This 884-nucleotide long non-coding RNA is filed under the name Phascolarctos cinereus (koala). RNAcentral's name for it is "lncRNA (ENSPCIG00000012844.2)". Lineage: Eukaryota; Metazoa; Chordata; Mammalia; Diprotodontia; Phascolarctidae. The record is from RNAcentral.